GACGAACGCUGGCGGCGUGCUUAACACAUGCAAGUCGAACGGAAAGGCCCUGCUUUUGUGGGGUGCUCGAGUGGCGAACGGGUGAGUAACACGUGAGUAACCUGCCCUUGACUUUGGGAUAACUUCAGGAAACUGGGGCUAAUACCGGAUAGGAGCUCCUGCUGCAUGGUGGGGGUUGGAAAGUUUCGGCGGUUGGGGAUGGACUCGCGGCUUAUCAGCUUGUUGGUGGGGUAGUGGCUUACCAAGGCUUUGACGGGUAGCCGGCCUGAGAGGUUGGCCGGCCACAUUGGGACUGAGAUACGGCCCAGACUCCUACGGGAGGCAGCAGUGGGGAAUAUUGCACAAUGGGCGGAAGCCUGAUGCAGCAACGCCGCGUGCGGGAUGACGGCCUUCGGGUUGUAAACCGCUUUCGCCUGUGACGAAGCGUGAGUGACGGUAAUGGGUAAAGAAGCACCGGCUAACUACGUG
RNAcentral lists this ribosomal RNA (468 nucleotides) under uncultured bacterium. RNAcentral describes it as "partial 16S ribosomal RNA". It matches the Rfam family "Bacterial small subunit ribosomal RNA", at positions 28 to 507 of the family's 1533-position model. The record is from RNAcentral.